GAUUUCCGUAGGAAUCGUCCAAGCUCUGGACAAGCGGAUGGAUUCACGUGGGUGUAGUCAUAUAUAUAUGUACGUGCGUUUACCAGCCUCUCCGCUGUCCUAGAAGAUAUACUCGCCACCAUUAACAUUAUUAUGUGCGCCCGUGCUCGUCAGUGGGGAUAAGUGAACGCGGCUGGCUUAUUAAAUUGCUGGUGUAACAUUACGAUUUACAGGGCAAUAAGAGAGUUAUCCAAGCAGCGCGCUUCGUGAGUGAGCUCGUAACGUGGCGUUAACGUAGCGUGCUUGUUCUCUUCUCCCACUCUAACCAAUUUAAUACCAGAAGGAGCGAGCUAAGGUAGCACUGAAUUCUACUGCUGUUCGAUUCGUUGAUACAAGGAUUACGUUAUUACAUUUUACACCGAUCUAAAGGAAGUCCUUGAGAGAAAUUCUUGGCAGUUAAAUAAAAAUUAUAAUAUUAUGUCUGUUCAUUACAGCGUUGCCGUAUUAAGGGAUGUUCGCAUAUAAUGCUAGAAACAAUGGCAGUUUGAUGAGUUCGCCUACUUGUUAUCCGGAGCCCACUUGUCGUUUCUCCAACUCAUUAACGUCAUACGAUGACGGUAAUCAAGACUCGAAGAUGAAUGUAUUAAAAUCAACGUUUACCAUGAGUAUUUGCGUGACGCAAAUCGUUAGAUACUAUGUUCCGUACAUCGAAAAAUGAUUUGCAGAGUGAGGAUGCAGCAUACUUCCACUUUUUCUUUUUGUCUUUUUUCUUUCUUUCUUUCUUUCUUUUUUCAACAUGUCAGAUACAUUCUGAAGAUUCGUCGUCACACGACCGGUAGUAAUUUCAUCGGUAAUAAUAUCAGUCGAACGUGACGUGACUCCUUCGAAAUGCCAUGUGAAGGAAACAAGGCGACGAGGCCAUAAAAAAGCAUGCUGCUUGAGGGAAGGAGCAGGUUAAGAAAGAGAAGGAGGGGGAAGAGGAGGAGGAGAAGAAGAAAAAGGAGGAGGAGAAAGAGGAGGAGGAGAAGGAGGAGGAGGUGGGAACCGCAGUGACCGCGAGUGCUUGUCUAAAAGGAGUCCUAGGCGGGUUAUCGCUCGGUAGAGCUUGAACAACGUUGCAAUUAUCAGCCAUUCCUCGCAAAUAGCUGAUGGUUAGUGAUAAUUAUCUGCCAAGAACGCCACGCCAUCGAGGCAGCAUCGUGUACGGUUGAUCUAUAUACCGGGUGAUCCGAUCGACGGAUUAUUCUUUUCAAUGCGGAUCAUCGAUUUAGAACGUCACUUUCGUGUACUAGAACGAUCGAGUUAUUGUUAAAUCGUACAUCCGUAUUUUAUAUCUUGUCUUAUA
This is a long non-coding RNA of Vespa crabro (European hornet), 1324 nucleotides long. RefSeq lists it as uncharacterized. The record is from RefSeq and is a predicted model, not a curated record. Lineage: Eukaryota; Metazoa; Arthropoda; Insecta; Hymenoptera; Vespidae. The transcript has 4 exons.